Molecule: ribosomal RNA, 420 nt
Filed under: uncultured bacterium
Lineage: Bacteria
Description: bacterial SSU rRNA
Rfam family: Bacterial small subunit ribosomal RNA
Source: RNAcentral
GAGGAGUAUUGGUCAAUGGGCGAGAGCCUGAACCAGCCAUCCCGCGUGAAGGAAGAAGGCGCUAUGCGUUGUAAACUUCUUUUCCAGGGGAAGAAAACCCCCGACGUGUCGGGGCUUGCCGGUACCUUGGGAAUAAGCAUCGGCUAACUCCGUGCCAGCAGCCGCGGUAAUACGGAGGAUGCGAGCGUUAUCCGGAUUCAUUGGGUUUAAAGGGUGCGUAGGCGGACUAAUAAGUCAGUGGUGAAAACCUGCAGCUUAACUGUAGACGUGCCAUUGAUACUGUUAGUCUUGAGUAUGGUCAAGGUAGGCGGAAUGUGUAAUGUAGCGGUGAAAUGCUUAGAUAUUACACAGAACACCGAUUGCGAAGGCAGCUUGCUGGGCCAUUACUGACGCUGAUGCACGGGAGCGUGGGGAGCGAAC